This is a long non-coding RNA of Centruroides sculpturatus (bark scorpion), 555 nucleotides long. RefSeq lists it as uncharacterized. The transcript has 4 exons. NCBI's taxonomy places the organism in Eukaryota, Metazoa, Arthropoda, Arachnida, Scorpiones, Buthidae. The record is from RefSeq and is a predicted model, not a curated record.
UAAGAGAUAAUGGAAACAAAUUAUAGGGCUGAAAACAAUUUGAAAAAGUUGUAGACCUAUAAAUGUCCACUGUCAUCUGUCUCUCUCCAUUUGUUUUUUCCUUAAUCUCGAGAACAGAGUUAGAUAGAUGAAAGACGAGACCAGAUACGGAAACGUUAGGAGCAGGAGGCCUUGAUUAAUUAUAUACGAACUUCCGAUGCAAACCAGCAGUUUGAGAGUUCUGUGUCAACAUGAUCAUGGUUAAGAUUGUUAGAGUGACUACUUUGGAGCACAGAAAGAUCACUGUGUAGGUGAUGUGCUGAUAUGUAUAUGAACUAGAAAAUGCUCUUCAAGAUUAUAAAAAUAAGAUAUGUCAGCGCGGUUUCAUCCAUAUUCUGCAGAAACCUUGAGAAAUAACUGACAGCUGUCGACCACCUGCAACAAGGAAGAAGAAUAAGGCAAUCGGAAGACUGCGAUGGAAACCGAAGUUUCCUCUAUUCCUAAUAAGAUAUCCGUUCCUACUCGAUGAAACGAUAAAGAAUAUUUUUUUUUUUAACAAAUAAAAUUUAUGUGGAA